Molecule: non-coding RNA, 185 nt
Filed under: Deltaproteobacteria bacterium
Lineage: Bacteria; Pseudomonadati; Myxococcota; Myxococcia
Description: 6S RNA
Rfam family: 6S / SsrS RNA
About the family: E. coli 6S RNA was the first non coding RNA to be sequenced, but its function was unknown until recently.
Source: RNAcentral
GGUGCUCUGCGGGAUGCGCAGGGGUGUAAUCAUUACGAUUGGAUCCCUGGCAUUGAGACCCGGGAGUUGUCACCGGUCCGCUGUGUGCAUGCCCGGUUGAGCCGGGAAGCCUGAGGCGGCCAUACGACGCCCACCUAUCGGUUCGGGUUUCAAUCGCCGCUCCUGACGGUCCGGGCGGAGCACCG